Molecule: long non-coding RNA, 782 nt
Filed under: Scleropages formosus (Asian bonytongue)
Lineage: Eukaryota; Metazoa; Chordata; Actinopteri; Osteoglossiformes; Osteoglossidae
Description: lncRNA (ENSSFOG00015025880.1)
Source: RNAcentral
GUUGGAGAUUAUUUGAUUAAGUCCUUAUCAGACAUCUAGGACCCAGAUGUCAGCUUUUCAUGCCAUUUAUGUCAUUGAGGCCUAAAGGGAAAGGUGGGAAUUUGGCUGGAGACCUCCUCGCAUUUCAAGUCCUAUACAAAGACACUCUGCAGCAGGGACAGUGAGUUCCUGGCUGCACACAUCCUUCUCCUUGCUUUGCAGUGAGGAGCACAGCAAUACCUUGAAGUUCUGCCUGAUUUCCUUGACAUGCAGUGAGGGCAAUAGUGAGUUCAUAGAAGACUCGUCCUUCCUCUUGCCUUGGGGUGAGGAGGACGGUGAUUUUCUGGUUGCCGGCAACUUCUCCCUGGGUUGCAGCGUGGAGGACAUCAAGUUCUUGGCAGCCUUUGCACUUCUCCUUGCCUUGCAGAGAGCAGAACAUGAGCCCUGAGAGCCUCGUUGCUCAUGCAUCAGUGGAACCUGCAGAGGCCCGACCCCACGACAAAGAGCCACUGUUGUUCCCAACCUUCACAGAGCCGUGCAGAAAGGACAUGUGGGAACUCACCCAUAGGCGAGGUGGCUGCCUCUUCACCUGGCCCACUGCCUGGCCUCUGGAAUCCAACUGAAAACACAGCAGUAGAUCAUACUCACAGAAACAAUUUGUAAUUCAAAUACUAUGAAUGCAUUAACAUUUUGACUAAACUAAAUAUUUAUACACUAAAUGUACUUGUAUACUUUGCCAAAAAUUAACCCUUGAUGUUUCUUAAGGGAUUAUUUCAGAAUAAACACCUAAAGAAACUGAAGCA